Molecule: ribosomal RNA, 253 nt
Filed under: uncultured bacterium
Lineage: Bacteria
Description: partial 16S ribosomal RNA
Rfam family: Bacterial small subunit ribosomal RNA
Source: RNAcentral
UACGUAGGGGGCAAGCGUUAUCCGGAUUUACUGGGUGUAAAGGGGGCGCAGACGGCGAUGCAAGCCAGGAGUGAAAGCCCGGGGCCCAACCCCGGGACUGCUCUUGGAACUGCGUGGCUGGAGUGCAGGAGGGGCAGGCGGAAUUCCUGGUGUAGCGGUGAAAUGCGUAGAUAUCAGGAGGAACCCCGGUGGCGAAGGCGGCCUGCUGGACUGCAACUGACGUUGAGGCCCGAAAGCGUGAGGAGCAAACAGG